This 88-nucleotide transfer RNA is filed under the name Nitrospirales bacterium. RNAcentral describes it as "tRNA-Ser". It matches the Rfam family "tRNA". Rfam says of the family: Transfer RNA (tRNA) molecules are approximately 80 nucleotides in length. Their secondary structure includes four short double-helical elements and three loops (D, anti-codon, and T loops). Lineage: Bacteria; Pseudomonadati; Nitrospirota; Nitrospiria; Nitrospirales. The record is from RNAcentral.
GGAGGGGUGCUAGAGUGGACGAAUAGGCCGGUCUUGAAAACCGGAGUAGUGCAAGCUACCGUGGGUUCGAAUCCCACCCCCUCCGCCA